Molecule: long non-coding RNA, 643 nt
Organism: Adelges cooleyi (spruce gall adelgid)
Lineage: Eukaryota; Metazoa; Arthropoda; Insecta; Hemiptera; Adelgidae
Exons: 2
Source: RefSeq, a predicted model, not a curated record
UUUAUUACAUAUGAGAUUAUAUACAAUUUUAACGAAUGUUACCGAUUUAGUUUCAAUAAUCACUAAAUAACUAUAAAUAUUUUUUGUUUUGAAUAUUUAGUGGGUUAGCCAUGCAAAAGGUGUUAACUGUGUACUCACUUGCAUUAUUCACUCCGUAAAGCGUCUAAUAUCGUUAACACGGCAAUAAAGAACAGGCAAAUCAGCAAAUUGUGAUAAUCGCGAAAUGGCUGCCGGCGUUUUCGGGCGGCCGUGUGUACUGUAUUUUAUAACCGAAAAUGUUCACUAAUGUUUUUUACGUUGAUUUCCGGAGAAGUGAGAGCGUUCAGGUGAAACGCCAUUGCAUCCAUAGCGAAAGUAUUCUGCACAGUGCACAUAUGACGCGUGCAUAGUGCAUACACAACUUUAACUUUAGAGUUUGUACAAUAAUAUCACAGAUUAUGUUAUCUAAUCUAAUCUCACUCUUCACGGACUAGUACGUUGUACAUUGAUUGUCAUUUGAUAUGAUAUAUCCUAUAAAUUAUAUAGGUAUUAUCCGUACAAUAAUAUUUUACUGUGUUUGUCACUGAAUGUUUUUUUUGUUUAUUAUUUUGUUUGAUAAUAUAACAUUAAAUUGUAAUUUGAAAUAAAUCAAAUGUAUACAUUA